UGAGCCUUCAGACUCAAACUGGGAUGCACAUCAUUGUUCUCCUGGUUCUCAGGACUUUGGACUUGCACUGGAAUUACACCCCAGCUUUCCUGAUUCUACAGUUUGAAGAUGGUAGAUUGUGGGACUUCUCAGACUCCAUAAUGAGGACAAGUUGCAGCAAUCAACUCUGACUUAAACAAUAGCGAAAGGGCAUUGGUGAGGACACCAGGAAGCUGAUGAAUACACAGCCUUCAGCAACAUCGGGAGUCAGAGCUGCUCCAGGGAUCUUGGCAGGAGGGAUUUGUGGCUCUCCUUCCAGAAUGCUGUCAAGGGUGACAGAGGCCUAAGCACCUUUCAUCCUCAUGUAAUUUGUGCUCCAGAUUUGAAGACCAGGGUGGAAGAACCUCAUUGGCUUUCCUUAUGUCACCUGCUCUGCUAAUAGGUGGUAUCGUUUGAUUGGCACCUCUGCCAUUCCCACGUAGAGUGGAAAAGGGCAAUCAGACAGAAACAGAAGGUGCCGUCUGCCUCCCUCCUCCCUACCCCUUCCCCUGCCACCCACAACCCUACAGAUUGGGAAAGGUAGAAUUAGGAAGUAUGUUUAGAAUUUUUGGUGUGUGGUCUGGACCUCUAAGAUGGCUCAUCAUAGCCUAGCUGGAAAAUGGAAAGCCUCCGUCAGAAAUUAAAAAUCAAAUGUAACAGUGCUGUUGACUCUCAUACGACUCUCCUCCAGUCACCCUUCACUUGUCAUGUCAGUGUCAGCAUUUGUGGUAAUGGUUUGGGAUGUGGAAGGGGGAGUGAGAAGGGAGAUAAUCCUUCUUCUUCUCCUUCUUCUUCUGAG
Molecule: long non-coding RNA, 817 nt
Filed under: Homo sapiens (human)
Lineage: Eukaryota; Metazoa; Chordata; Mammalia; Primates; Hominidae
Description: non-protein coding lnc-NPIPA7-7:1
Source: RNAcentral